UACGGGGGGGGCAAGCGUUGUUCGGAAUCACUGGGCUUAAAGGGCGCGUAGGCGGCCUGCCAAGUCAGGAGUGUAAUCUUUCGGCUCAACCGGAAAAGUGCUUUUGAUACUGGCGGGCUAGAGGGAGAUAGGGGCAUGUGGAACUUCCGGUGGAGCGGUGAAAUGCGUUGAUAUCGGAAGGAACGCCGGUGGCGAAAGCGACGUGCUGGACCUCUUCUGACGCUGAGGCGCGAAAGCCAGGGGAGCGAACGGG
This 253-nucleotide ribosomal RNA is filed under the name uncultured bacterium. Its description in RNAcentral is "partial 16S ribosomal RNA". It matches the Rfam family "Bacterial small subunit ribosomal RNA", at positions 524 to 776 of the family's 1533-position model. The record is from RNAcentral.